Long non-coding RNA from Hyaena hyaena (striped hyena), 226 nucleotides. RefSeq lists it as uncharacterized. The transcript has 2 exons. The record is from RefSeq and is a predicted model, not a curated record. NCBI's taxonomy places the organism in Eukaryota, Metazoa, Chordata, Mammalia, Carnivora, Hyaenidae.
AUGGCCAGCUAGACACUACAUUUCCCAUCCUUCUAAUCCAGCUUGACACAAUCACAGGACUAAGUUCUGGCAAAUGGAAUGUAACAAGAAAUAGGACGCGGUAGGAGCCAGAGCAACCAUCUUGAUCUUGGAGAUGAAGCUACACGUCGAAAGUGAUAGAGAUACCCUUACAGCCCUGCACCUCCCAGCGCUGGACAGAGAAAUAAACUUCUACUAUGCUAUGCUA